CCAAGUAUCAGCAAUACUGCUCCCCGCCGCAGGAGGUGGGAGCAAGGGGAGGGAUAAUUGCUGGGGAUCUGGGGAGCCCUGGGAAGACAGCCCCCGUAUAAGGUUUGGAGCAUUCUAGGUGGGAAUCCAAAGAGCAGGUCUAAACCUUCUUCCCACCACUGGGUCAGUAACAACUCUGGGCAGUGUGUUUGGCUUCUCCCAGGCUGGCUCAGCUGCAAAUGGGAGGUAUCUUCCCUGUUCUCUUCUGGGUCCGAGGCCAGUUGGAAGGACUGGAUGAGCUACAUAUAAAAGGGUACUGUGAGCUUUGAAUUACCUCACAAAGGUGUGGGAUGACCUCUUCUGCUCUCUGAAGUGUCAAAGUCCCCCAGAACAAAGUGACAGAGAACAGAAAAGUCCUGCGCCCUGACAUAUGGGUCCACAGCUUAUGGAGGGAGAAACUGCCGUCUUCCGACAGCUGUCUCUAGAGGGCAUCAGAACCCAGCACAGGGAGUUAUCUUCAGCACCAAGCAGUCUGCGACUGAUAUAGGAAGUGGCCUUUUCACAGAUGCACCCGAAACCCAGCUGCAGUGAGUAAUUUCACAAAUCCAGUAUCACACCAUCCGCUGGGGCUUGACAAGGGCAGAAAGCCUUUGAAGAGUACUGGGAUUACUGGCAUGCACCACCAGGCAUGAGGCAAUCUGAAAUUUUAACACCUUAUUUACUCGAUGGCAUCAGAAAAUAUGUUUGUCCAAAUCAGGGAAUUUUUCAGACAGCUGACAAAACUAUCAGUACCUUGACCCCGGAGUCCCAGUGGUAGAGAACUGAAGACAUCAUUGCUAAAAGCCCUUGUCAAUCGAAGAUGAGAAGGGAAAAGAAUCAGUGCAUAAUGCUUUGCACAAACACAAUUUGGAAGCCACUUACCAGAAAUGCCAUCUACUGAAAACAAAGAUAAUUCUAUGGGGCAAGACUGAAGCUUUAUGUAUGUGAUGACACAUCACUGCAUCUUUAUGGAUUCCAAAAGUAAGGUGUGAGAGCUACCCCUCUCCUGGCCUUCAUGAGAUACAGACAUGACAACAUCAAACUCUUCCCUUUACUCUGCCUCUCCAAUACAUGUGAGUAAUCAAAAUUCUCUGGCCUUAAAGAUGUGGGGAUCUGGCUACAGUAGGAGCAGGUGAGUCAUCCUCUACUUCGAUGGUCCCUUCUGGGUUUCAUGUGUGUUGGGGCCUGCCUCUCCUGCACAAGAUGUGACUAAUAGAAAGAUGAGGGAUGGCCCUUUUUAUAGGAAUAAACUGUACCAGUAGCUUACACACAGAUUGCCUUUCAAUCUGUGUUUUUACCUUUGAGGGAAACUCAAAGAAGAGACAUCUUGUAUGAGACUUACGCACCAUGUUGUUUCUUCAAGCUCGUAUUUUAGUUGUGACUCAGGGACAGGAUCACGAGACGUACUGACAAAUGAAAACCAAGGCUGCAGCCGCUGGUCCACUGGAAUACUUACUCCCUCGUC
This is a long non-coding RNA of Heterocephalus glaber (naked mole-rat), 1483 nucleotides long. RefSeq lists it as uncharacterized. The record is from RefSeq and is a predicted model, not a curated record. NCBI's taxonomy places the organism in Eukaryota, Metazoa, Chordata, Mammalia, Rodentia, Bathyergidae.